GACGAACGCUGGCGGCGCGCUUAACACAUGCAAGUCGAACGGAAAGGCCUGCUUUCCCUUGUGGAUUGCGGGUACUCGAGUGGCGAACGGGUGAGUAACACGUGAGUGAUCUGCCCCCAACUUGGGUAUAAGCCUGGGAAACUGGGUCUAAUUCCCGAUAGGACUGCAGGGUGGUGCCUGUGGUGGAAAACGAUUUUCUAGUGGUUGGGGAUGAGCUCGCGGCCUAUCAGCUUGUUGGUGGGGUAAUGGCCUACCAAGGCGGCGACGGGUAGCCGGCCUGGGAGGGUGGACGGCGACAUUGGGACUGAGAUACGGCCCAGACUCCUACGGGAGGCAGCAGUGGGGAAUAUUGCACAAUGGGCGGAAGCCUGAUGCAGCGACGCCGCGUGGGGGAUGACGGCCUUCGGGUUGUAAACUCCUUGCGACCGCGAGGAAGCCACCUGGUUGGAAGGGUGGUGACGGUAGUGGUAGAAGAAGCACCGGCUAACUACGUG
Molecule: ribosomal RNA, 494 nt
Filed under: uncultured bacterium
Lineage: Bacteria
Description: partial 16S ribosomal RNA
Rfam family: Bacterial small subunit ribosomal RNA
Source: RNAcentral